Molecule: ribosomal RNA, 253 nt
Filed under: uncultured bacterium
Lineage: Bacteria
Description: partial 16S ribosomal RNA
Rfam family: Bacterial small subunit ribosomal RNA
Source: RNAcentral
GACGAACCGUGCGAACGUUGUUCGGAAUCACUGGGCUUAAAGGGCGCGUAGGCGGGCGGCCAAGUCCGGGGUGAAAUCCUCCAGCCCAACUGGAGAAGCGCCUCGGAGACUGGUCAUCUCGAGGGGGGUAGGGGCAAGCGGAACUAUGGGUGGAGCGGUGAAAUGCAUUGAUAUCCAUAGGAACUCCGGUGGCGAAGGCGGCUUGCUGGACCCUUUCUGACGCUGAGGCGCGAAAGCCAGGGGAGCGAACGGG